UCAUCAACAGGCUUGUGUAUGGCUACAAAUCCAUCACAAAUACCUUUGAACUCUUUGGUAUAUUCAUCCAUCUUCUUGCUUCCCAACUUAACAUUUUUGUAGUUAUUGUUUAAGUUGGAACUCCUUGUCCUUUAUAGCUUGAAGGUAGGCCUCUUCCAAACACUCCCAUAUUUUCUUAGCAGUUGAGCAUCCUAUUAUCAAGUACAUGCUCUCCUCAGACAGUGUGCCUGAGAUCCAACUUCUGAGUAAGACAACCUUCUUCUCCCAAUUAUCUUUACUGCUACUAUCUUCAAUAUCCUUCUAGUACUAGUUUCAGUAGCCUUUGUGGUAGGUUUAGUAGAUGGUGAUGUAGUUAUUUCCUUAUUUAUAAGAUAGGUUGGUUUUAAAACCUGAAUCAGCUGCUUCAUUUGUGUCCUCCAUAUCAGAUAGUUAGCUUAAGCUUGAUGGGACAUGAGGCAAUGAGAUGGUAAAGUGAGAAAGUAGAGAGAGUUUUGAUUAAAGGGGCCAUUGCAUCUAUUUUUUGAAGGGAAAGAAAUAGUUUUAAGUUCUCAACACUUUUCCGCAACAAGAGAUGUUCUAUUUCUCUGAUACCAUAUGAAAAACUCAAAAAAAAAAUUGGAAGAAAAUUGAUUAUUUUAUUGAUAAACAAUCGAGAUUACAUAUGCUCAUAUUUAUAGGAGAGAGCUAGCAGGCUAGUGCAAGUAAUACAAGUAUGAUGAGAGUUUAAUUCUAGCUAUACAUAUGCUUAGACUUAUAAUCCUACAAGAACUAAAUUAGUAUAGUUACUGCUCAAUUAUGUAACUGAUUCAUGGCUACUCAUACUCUUAAUCAAACACUGCUUAUUAUCCCUAUGUUCAACAAUGUUCGUCAAGCAAGCUUCUGGACUUAAAAUGACAGUGUUCACCCUAUUUUCUAGGCGAAUUCCUAAAAUCAAAAUCUAAUAGUGAACUAGAACAAAAUUUAUCUUAAAGGGAUUAUGCUAAAGAAAGAUCUCAUUUUCCAGGAGGGUCCUGAAUAGAAAAUAAAGUCUCAUUGUUCAAGAGGUUCCUGCUAAUCUCAUUCUUCAGGAGGGUCCUGCUAAUCUCAUUUCUAGGAGGGUCCCAAUAUUUUUAUUUAUAUAAGUGUUUCGAUUAAUAAUUCUAUUUAUAGGAGGGUUCUGAAUAGCCGUCAUUCUCCAGAAGUGUCCUGCUAAUCCCACUUUUUAGAAGGGCCCUGCUGAUCCUAUUUCUAAGAGAGUUCUGAAAAUCUCAUUUCUAUAAGAGUCUCGAUUGAUAAUCCCAUUUCUAGAAGGGUCUCGAACAGAAAAUUAAAGUCUUACUUUCCAGAAGGGUCCUACUAAGUCUAUUCUUCAUGAGGGUCAUGUUAAUCCCAUGUCUAGGAGGGUCCCAAACAGAAAAUUAAAAUCACAUUUCUAGAAGGGUUCUGAACAAAAAGUAAAGUCUCCCUUUUUUUAGAAGGGUUCUAAACAGAAAAUAAAGUUUCAGUUUUUUAGGAGGGUUCUGAACAAAAAGUAAAGUCUCAUUUCGCAUGAGGAUCCUAAACAGAAAGUAAAGCCCCAUCUUCUAGGAGGAUCAUGAAUAGAAAAAUAAAAUUUUAUUUUUUAGAAGGGUCCUGAAUAGAAAAUAAAGUCUCAUUUACCAUGAGGAUCCUGAAUAGAAAGUAAAGUUUCAUUUUUCAAGAGGAUCCUAAACAGAAAAUAAAGUGCAUUUUUCAGGAGGGUUCUGAACAGAAAAUAAAGUCUUAUUUUUUAGGAAAAGGCUCAUUUUUCAGUAGGGCUUUGAAUAAAAAAUAAGUUUCAUUUUUCAGAAGGGUCUUGAACAAACAAUAAAGUCUCAUUUUUCAGGAGGAUCCUGAUUAGAAAGUAAAGUCCCACUUUCUAAGAGGAUCUUGAACUGAAAGUAAAGUCUCAUUUUUCAGGACUAUUAUGAACAAAAAGUGAAGUACCAUUUUUCAAAAGGAUCCUGAACAAAAAAUUAAAGUCCCAAAUAACCGGAAUAAAUUGUUUCCCCAGUUUAUUAUCAUAAAAUUUUGGUGAGUGUCAAACUAACUCAUAACUACUUGAAAAAUACACAAUCCAAAGGUGAAUCAAGGCUCUGACCAAUAAAUGCAUAUCUUGAGGAUAAAACUGAAUGACCAAGUCUAGAAAGUGUAUCUCCUAGGAGUUAAUUAAAGGACUCUGACUAGAAAGUGUAUCUUCAAGGAGAAAAGGUUCAAAUUAAAAAGUGCAUUUCCUAUAAAUGAAAUGUAAAAGAUCCAAAAUAGAGAGUGCGUCUCUUAGGGGUUAAAUUAAAGGAUUGUAUUAGAAAGUGCAUAUUUCCAGGAUUGAAUUGAUAAAUUUCAACUAGAAAAUGAUCUUCUAAGAAUUGAGUUAAUCGACUCUAACUAGAAAGUGUGACUUCUUGGAGUAAAAAUUCAAACUAGGAAGAGUGUAUUCUACAAAUGAAAUUUGAAAGAUACUAACUAGAAAGUGUGUCUCUUAGGGGUAAAGGAAUAUGAAUUUUAUCAUGAUUGUGAUUAUAAAAUCUGUAUAGUAAUAUUGCCUCUUGUAUUUGCAGAAGUGAAAAAAUUACAUCUUUUGAUAUCUAGUCUUUGAAGCCCUUAAUUUGAAGGCAACACGUAUUCCUGUUUUAUACAAAGAAAACUUGUGAAUUGAAGAACAUGAUGGUUGAUUUAUGGUUUUAGAUUUUGAGUCAAUUGCUCUUGUACUUGUCACAUUUAACUAGCUUCAAACUAUUGGCGUAUGUAAUUAACUUGUUGCACCAUUAACCCAAAUUCAGGCUAUUAAGAGUGACUCUGACGCAAAUACGUAUUCCAUCAAGGACCCAAACUCUGGCUAUCAAAAGUGACUGUGACGCAGAGAAUAUACCUCUGUCUCAUCAUUUCUUCAAACUAAACUUUAUUGAAA
RNAcentral lists this long non-coding RNA (2905 nucleotides) under Capsicum annuum. Its description in RNAcentral is "long non-coding RNA (CANN_LNC000986)". Lineage: Eukaryota; Viridiplantae; Streptophyta; Magnoliopsida; Solanales; Solanaceae. The record is from RNAcentral.